RNAcentral lists this transfer RNA (72 nucleotides) under Camelus bactrianus (Bactrian camel). It matches the Rfam family "tRNA". Rfam says of the family: Transfer RNA (tRNA) molecules are approximately 80 nucleotides in length. Their secondary structure includes four short double-helical elements and three loops (D, anti-codon, and T loops). The record is from Rfam by way of RNAcentral. Lineage: Eukaryota; Metazoa; Chordata; Mammalia; Artiodactyla; Camelidae. RNAcentral also lists the same sequence under 2 other names.
GUGGGUAUAGCUCAGUUGUAGAGCACAUGCUUAACAUGCACAAGGUCCUGGGUUCAAUCCUCAGUACCUCCA